This 366-nucleotide ribosomal RNA is filed under the name uncultured bacterium. Its description in RNAcentral is "partial 16S ribosomal RNA". It matches the Rfam family "Bacterial small subunit ribosomal RNA", at positions 338 to 701 of the family's 1533-position model. The record is from RNAcentral.
CCUACGGGUGGCAGCAGUGAGGAAUAUUGGUCAAUGGGCGCGAGCCUGAACCAGCCAAGUAGCGUGAAGGAUGAAGGCCCUACGGGUUGUAAACUUCGUGUAUAAAGGAAUAAAGUGAGGCACGUGUGCCUUUUUGUAUGUACGUUAUGAAUAAGGAUCGGCUAACUCCGUGCCAGCAGCCGCGGUAAUACGGAGGAUCCGAGCGUUAUCCGGAUUUAUUGGGUUUAAAGGGAGCGUAGCUGGGUUGUUAAGUCAGUUGUGAAAGUUUUCGGCUCCACCGUAAAAUUGCAAUUGAUACUGGCAGUCUUGAGUACCGUUGCGGUAGGCGUACUUCGUGGUGUAGCGGUGCACUGCUUAGAUCUCACG